Molecule: ribosomal RNA, 1695 nt
Filed under: Tylenchorhynchus sp. TyRhIbe1
Lineage: Eukaryota; Metazoa; Nematoda; Chromadorea; Rhabditida; Telotylenchidae
Description: SSU rRNA
Rfam family: Eukaryotic small subunit ribosomal RNA
Source: RNAcentral
AUGUAUAAGUAUAAACGACUUGAUCGUGAAACCGCGAACGGCUCAUUAUAACAGCUAUAAUUUACUUGAUCUUGACAACCUACUUGGAUAACUGUGGUAAUUCUAGAGCUAAUACAUGCACCAAAGCUCCGACCGUAAGGGAAGAGCGCAUUUAUUAGAACAAAACCAAGCGGCUUCGGCCGUCCAAUGUUGACUCAGAAUAACUAAGCUGAUCGCAUGGUCUUGUACCGGCGACGUGUCUUUCAAGUAUCUGCCUUAUCAACUUUCGAUGGUAGUGUAUCUGACUACCAUGGUGAUGACGGGUAACGGAGGAUAAGGGUUCGACUCCGGAGAAGGGGCCUGAGAAAUGGCCACUACGUCUAAGGAUGGCAGCAGGCGCGCAAAUUACCCACUCUCAGAACGAGGAGGUAGUGACGAGAAAUAACGAGACCGUUCUCUUAAGAGGCCGGUCAUCGGAAUGGGUACAAUUUAAACCCUUUAACGAGUAUCUAUGAGAGGGCAAGUCUGGUGCCAGCAGCCGCGGUAAUUCCAGCUCUCAAAAUGCAUAGAAUUAUUGCUGCGGUUAAAAAGCUCGUAGUUGGAUCUGUGCUGGCCUCCCGGUCCACCUUCGGGUGUGCACUGGUUGAGGUUGGCUUUCCUGCCCAUUUUUCGGUCAGUGCCUUUAACCGGGUGCUGGUCGUAGUGGGCAAGUUUACUUUGAACAAAUCAGAGUGCUCAAAACAGGCGUUUCGCUUGAAUGUUCGUGCAUGGAAUAAUAGAAGAGGAUUUCGGUUCUAUUUUAUUGGUUUUAUAGACUGAGAUAAUGGUUAACAGAGACAAACGGGGGCAUUCGUAUUGCUACGUGAGAGGUGAAAUUCUUGGACCGUAGCAAGACGAACUACAGCGAAAGCAUUUGCCAAGAAUGUCUUCAUUAAUCAAGAACGAAAGUCAGAGGUUCGAAGGCGAUCAGAUACCGCCCUAGUUCUGACCGUAAACGAUGCCAACUAGCGAUCCGCCGGUGGAUUCUUUGCCCUGGUGGGGAGCUUCCCGGAAACGAAAGUCUUCCGGUUCCGGGGGAAGUAUGGUUGCAAAGCUGAAACUUAAAGGAAUUGACGGAAGGGCACCACCAGGAGUGGAGCCUGCGGCUUAAUUUGACUCAACACGGGGAAACUCACCCGGCCCGGACACCGUAAGGAUUGACAGAUUGAUAGCUUUUUCAUGAUUCGGUGGAUGGUGGUGCAUGGCCGUUCUUAGUUCGUGGAGCGAUUUGUCUGGUUUAUUCCGAUAACGAGCGAGACUCUAGCCUACUAACUAGUCAGCACAUUGCCUCUGUGUGCGCGGCUUCUUAGAGGGAUUUUCGGUGUUCAGCCGCACGAUAUUGAGCAAUAACAGGUCUGUGAUGCCCUUAGAUGUCCGGGGCUGCACGCGCGCUACACUGGCAAAAUCAGCGUGCUUGUCCUUCCCCGAAAGGGGUUGGUAAACCCUUGAAAAUUUGCCGUGAUUGGGAUCGGAAAUUGCAAUUAUUUUCCGUGAACGAGGAAUUCCAAGUAAGUGCGAGUCAUCAACUCGCGUUGAUUACGUCCCUGCCCUUUGUACACACCGCCCGUCGCUGCCCGGGACUGAGCCAUUUCGAGAAACUCGGGGACCGCUGAUUCGGCGGCUUUCGGGUCACCGUUUCGGUGGGAACCGAUUUAAUCGCAGUGGCUUGAACCGGGC